The sequence is a ribosomal RNA, 702 nucleotides long. It matches the Rfam family "Eukaryotic large subunit ribosomal RNA", at positions 367 to 920 of the family's 3401-position model.
CAAAGCACUUUGAAGAGAGAGUUAAAGAGGACGUGAAACCGGUAGGAUGGAAACGGAUAGAGCCAGCGAAGUCGCUUGUAUUCAGCCAAAGACUCGGUGCUGCCCGGCGUGGUGUUUCUUAUCGAGCACUGCGUUGGUGUCUGUGCUGGGUUGAGGUGCAUUUGCAGGCGUUUGCGCUGAGACUUGUGAGGCAGCUGCUGGACCCGUGUACUAGAGGCUUCCCUCUGGGUUGAACUUGGUCGCGGUUACAGUUGUUUGCCUUGCUCGUACUGGUCUGGCCUACGGACCUGGGCUAUGUGGUUGUUGCCUGGCGGUGGUAUCGCAUGCGAUGCCUAGUCUUGUGGCUUCCAUGUGGUUCAGUGUUCCCGGACCGACUCUCGGUGUAGAAGCUGGUCAUCUCUCCGACCCGUCUUGAAACACGGACCAAGGAGUUUAGCGUAUGCGCGAGUCAUUGGGUGUUAAAACUCAUAGGCGCAAUGAAAGUAAAGGCCCAGUCGCUGGGCUGACAUGUGAGUGGUGAGGCUUCGGCCCUGCCAUGCAGCAUGGUCCCGUUGCAGCCGCUUGCGGCGCAGCGGAGACAGAGCGUAUGCGCUGAGACCCGAAAGAUGGUGAACUAUUCCUGAGCAGGACGAAGCCAGAGGAAACUCUGGUGGAAGUCCGAAGCGAUUCUGACGUGCAAAUCGAUCGUCUGACUUGGUAUAG